Long non-coding RNA from Cyprinus carpio carpio, 2071 nucleotides. NCBI's taxonomy places the organism in Eukaryota, Metazoa, Chordata, Actinopteri, Cypriniformes, Cyprinidae. The record is from Ensembl.
GUAUAUAAGAUAAUAUACAUGGCCUAAUGGGAAUAAAAUUGGUCUUGGGUCAACACAGUCUCACCCCUAUUCGUCACAUACUGCCGUUUGGUCAUUUCCCCCUCACGUCCAUAAGCCGACGUUGAGGGUACCCCCUAUUCGUCGCUUGACAACGUAGAGGGUCGUCUGAUAGAUUUGAGUGCAAAUCCCUCAUCUUUGAAUUUUGACGAAAUGGGGUUAUCCAUCCAGCGGUUUGCCUGCGCUGGAAAGUAUGGUUUCAGGUGAUUGAUUUUAUGCUGCAAAUGUGUAUUUUGCAGUAGCGUGCGGCGCAAAUACUGUUAAAAUCAUUCAUUGGUGUGGUGACUAUACAUUUUCGUGGGGCAGAAACCGGUAUCACGACUUUUUCUGUCUCUUUUUUAUAUAAUUUUGGGCUAACGUUACAUUAAAAUGACAUAUUUACAGGACUGUAUAUUGGCUGUAUGCUUAAUACAUGCCUUAAUUUAGGUGGGAUAUUUUAUAAUUUUCGAUCACAUACUGCUGUUUGGUCAUUUCCCCCUCACGUCCAUAAGCCGACGUUGAGGGUACCCGACUGUAACAGUAUAUGCGCUGCACGCUACUGCAAAAUACACAAUUUGCAGCAUUAAAAUUAAUCCCCUGAAACCAUACUUUCCAGCGCAGGCAAACCGCUGGAUGGAUAACCCCAUUUCGUCAAAAUUCAAAGAUGAGGGAUUUGCGCUCAAAUCUAUCAGACGACCCUCUACUUUGUCAAGCGACGAAUAGGGGGUACCCUCAACGUCGGCUUAUGGACGUGAGGGGGAAAUGACCAAACAGCAGUAUGUGAUCGAAAAAUUAUAAAAGAUAUCCCACCUAAAUUAAGGCAUGUAUUAAGCAUACAGCAAAUAUACAGUCCUGUAAAUAUGUCAUUUUAAUGUAACGUUAGCCCAAAAUUAUAUAAAAAAAGAGACAGAAAAAGUCGUGAUACCGGUUUCUGCCCCACGAAAAUGUAUAGUCACCACACCAAUGAAUGAUUUUAACAGUAUUUGCGCCGCACGCUACUACAAAAUACACAUUUGCAGCAUAAAAUCAAUCACCUGAAACCAUACUUUCCAGCGCAGGCAAACCGCUGGAUGGAUAACCCCAUUUCGUCAAAAUUCAAAGAUGAGGGAUUUGCACUCAAAUCUAUCAGACGACCCUCUACGUUGUCAAGCGACGAAUAGGGGGUACCCUCAACGUCGGCUUAUGGACGUGAGGGGGAAAUGACCAAACGGCAGUAUGUGACGAAUAGGGGUGAGACUGUGUAGACUGUGUUGCUUGGGUUUGAAUAAAGUAUUGUAACAUAAAAAAAAUUGCUCACUUCAGCUUGAAAAAGCUUAUUUAAAGCUUAUUUUAAGCUUAAGUGAACUCCAUUAUUGGGGUUAUAUUGAAUUAAAUACAUUCAUUAAUUCUAGUCCAUUUAAUUUUUUUUUUUAAAUUUUUUUUAUAGCUUGUCUGAACCAGAGAUUUGGAUGGGCCAUCAGUUAUUUCCACCUCCUUGGGUGCUGACAUUGUAGUCAGUUGAAGAACUUGUGGUGAAAAAAGGAGAAGAAGAAAAAAGACAGGAUGACUACAUUUAUCACACCAUUUCAUCCAUAUCUCUCUGAAUUUUCUGCUUGAUGGUUAUAUUGAAGUGGGGAGGGUAUGCAUGUAUAUGUGAGAGAGAAAGAGCUGGAGUGUGUCCAUUUCCUGUGCAAUCUAGUUGAAUUAUCUCGGACACCUUUGAUCUAGUUUUUGCAUGUUUUCCUCUCCAUUAGCUCUGUGAUGUACUACAUCUACAUAAAAUUUUAAAACGAUGUUGCUGUGUUCUGAAGCUGUCAGUAUCUAAUCUUUCGGCGAUGCUGGGAUUUCAUUUUCUCCGGGUGAGGCGAAAGGAACGUUUUGCCCGUCCCCCCAAAGGAACCUCAGCUAAUGACUCAAGAUGCAUGAUUUCCUCUGAGGGUAGAGUUGCAGGAAAACAUUUUGACUGAAAGCCGAGCUCACUCUCGCUCUCAUAUAUAUUUAUUGCUCUAAGAAUUGCAAACGCUGUUCUGUGUUGAAGCAUGCAUCUCUGGGUGAC